Molecule: transfer RNA, 74 nt
Filed under: Bacteroidota bacterium
Lineage: Bacteria; Pseudomonadati; Bacteroidota
Description: Bacteroidetes bacterium (cold seep metagenome) tRNA-Trp
Rfam family: tRNA
About the family: Transfer RNA (tRNA) molecules are approximately 80 nucleotides in length.
Source: RNAcentral
ACGGGUGUAGCUCAGCUUGGUAGAGCAGUGGUCUCCAAAACCAAAGGUCGGGAGUUCGAUCCUCUCUACCCGUG